AUACGUAGGGGGCGAGCGUUGUCCGGAAUGAUUGGGCGUAAAGGGCGCGUAGGCGGCUUUGCAAGUCAGUAGUGGAAGUCCAUUCUUCAAGGAUGGAAGUGCUACAGAAACUGCGGAGCUUGAGUGCAGGAGAGGUUAUCGGAAUUCCCGGUGUAGCGGUGAAAUGCGUAGAGAUCGGGAGGAACACCAGUGGCGAAGGCGGUUAACAGGCCUGCAACGGAACGUGAGGCGGGAAAGUUGUGGGAGCAAACAGGAUUAGAUACCCUUGUGGGCCACACUGUAAACGAGGAAUGCUAGGUGGAGGAAGUAGCCCACCCAUCUGUGCCGCAGUAAACACAGUAAGCAAUCCGCCUGGGGGGUUCGGUCGCAAGAUUAAAACUCAAAUGAAUUGACGGGG
This 397-nucleotide ribosomal RNA is filed under the name uncultured bacterium. Its description in RNAcentral is "partial 16S ribosomal RNA". It matches the Rfam family "Bacterial small subunit ribosomal RNA", at positions 523 to 918 of the family's 1533-position model. The record is from RNAcentral.